GGGGCGGGGAGGCCUGUUGUAAACAGGGAAUCCAUUGGAGUAAUGGGAGUUGGAAGUAUGGUGGCUUCUCAUUGGCUGGGCUGUGACCGUCUCUCAUUGGCUGGGCUGUGGCCGUCUCUCAUUGGCUGGGCUGUGGCCGUCUCUCAUUGGCUGGGCUGUGACCGUCUCUCAUUGGCUGGGCUGUGGCCGUCUCUCAUUGGCUGAGCCGUUGCCAGGGGCCAGAGGAAACCCUCCUCCCGCUGGGGGGCAUCCACCUACAAGGUACUCUCUCUCCUCCGGCUGGGUCUGCAGUGAGCGUCCGGCCCCCACCCACCACCCCCCACCAGACUGCAUUCUGGCCGCGGUUUCCCUUUAUUAGUGUUUACAGUGAGUGGGAGUGUGCAAGCACGGAUGGAGGCUCUGUGGCCCCUGCCUCUCCAGAGGGACAGGGACGGGAAACGGGAAGGAGACACCACUUGUGGGAAGGCUUGGGACACGUGGGAAACCCCGGCCGUAAAUCAGCCUUCGUCCCCACUGGCAUCCUUUUCCCACUCCUGGACGCCUCACCUUAUUCACGUCCGACUCAAGGUCACCGGAGACUAAAGAGCUGGGCUGCAAGGAGAGCUCAGGCUCGGUCCAUCCCUCCUCACUAGCCAGGCAGGCGCAUGUGCACACGUGCACACACAGAACCCCGGGCCCGCCCCCUGCCCCUUGCCACUGCCCAUUGGAUGGAGCCCUUGGGGGAAGUUCCUGGACAUCGGGACGAAGCAGAGCAGAAAUGAAAUAACCACCAGAUUUGCAGCAUGUUACCUGUUUUUAUUAAAAAUCAAUGACACGAUA
RNAcentral lists this long non-coding RNA (819 nucleotides) under Suricata suricatta (meerkat). RNAcentral's name for it is "lncRNA (ENSSSUG00005022734.1)". The record is from RNAcentral. Lineage: Eukaryota; Metazoa; Chordata; Mammalia; Carnivora; Herpestidae.